UGCAAAAAAAUGUGUCUUGCUUUGGGCGAGGGGUGUUAGUGGUUGAUUAUGAUGAUAAUGAGAUUUUUCCUCGGACUUUCAGCAUUUCAGUUUUAAGUGACUGGCACAGCGAUUUAAUUUUGGUGAUUGAGGACUGCACAGAAGAGGAAUCAAAGUGAAAGUGGUAGACCAGCUGGAAAUGUCAACAGGAUCGGGACACCUGGAAAAUUUGGCCGCUGACAGCUGACCACCUGAAGUCUUGAUGCAGGUCCAACGAUGUCUGAUGAUGGUUAUGAACAACAUCUUAAUAAAGAUGAAUUCUUCUCAGUU
Long non-coding RNA from Pomacea canaliculata, 309 nucleotides. RefSeq lists it as uncharacterized. The record is from RefSeq and is a predicted model, not a curated record. The transcript is spliced from 2 exons. NCBI's taxonomy places the organism in Eukaryota, Metazoa, Mollusca, Gastropoda, Architaenioglossa, Ampullariidae.